GUCUACAGCUCUGCCACCCUGAACAUGCCCAAUCUCGUCUGAUCUCGGAAGCUAAGCAGGGUCUGGCCUGGUUAGUACUUGGAUGGGAGACCACCUAGGAAUACCAGGUGCUGUAUGCU
This 119-nucleotide ribosomal RNA is filed under the name Pteropus alecto (black flying fox). Lineage: Eukaryota; Metazoa; Chordata; Mammalia; Chiroptera; Pteropodidae. The record is from RNAcentral.